ACUGAAGGUAACUGGACCCUCAUCAGGAAGGAUAGAUAUAGCUUACCUGUCCAGGUGCAGGCUGAGGUGCUGAACAUCUAGGAGUGAAGAUGGGAGCUGCUCCAAGAAGAGGCAGAGAACAGAGCUCGCCUCUAGGACAGAGUCAAGUGAUUGUGCACUUGCUUCAGACGUCACUGCUCAAAAUAGCUGCAUGAGAGGCUGCGGUGAGCCAAGGUCACGACACUGCACUCCAGCCUGGGCAACAGGGCAAGACUCCGUCUCAAAAAAUAAAAAAAAAUAAAAAAAACGAAAUAGCUGUAUGACUCCUCCUCCUUUUUACUUGGGGGAGAGAGAGUUUGAGGUGGAAAGAGGAGAGAUGGGCAGGAAGAACGGGUUCUCACCACGCUUUCCCACUGGUGAGAGAACAGGUACGUGUCCUCCUUUGGGGAAAAUCCAGGGGCAAAUACAGGGUGCCAAGAGAGCGAAUUUCAGGAACUCCUCCUUGUCCUCAAGGACGAGACCAUGGAUUCCAGAUCCAGAGGACAGGUAGAUGUCGGCCUGGCAGAGGUGGGGCUGGGGAGGAGGUUUUAGCCGGCGAUUACUGCUGAUCAAAAUCCCCAAGGAGAAAGAAAAUAUAGCCUGCCUAGGAACUGAAAGAAGCUUGGAGUGUUCAGCCUAAAAUGAGGCAUUUUAUGUAAAUUAGUGGGCAUGAUUCCUGCUACAUUGUAUGUACCUGAUGGCUUACGGUUAUUUUGCAGAAGUUUACUUCUUACUGGGUGGAGACACUUGGCAUUUGUAAAUGAGAAUAACAAUUUGAAGGAAGAUAAGAACAAGAACAAAACCUCCUAUAGCAUAAACAGAAACGUUUGGAGUGUAUUAAUCUGCUGCUUACUUUCGAAAAUGCCAUCAGCCUCUUUCCGGCUUCUGCCAGUUUGGAGCUGUCGCAGGCAAGGCUGCCGGGGACCUCUUUGCCCCUUUAUGUUUGGGCACCAAUGGUUGCUUUGCUGUAGGAAAGACGCGCAGGAAGCUGGGGGAGCGGCACCCGGCCCUCUGUGUCAGUGCCUGGGAAGCGCCUGAGGAUUUCUGGGCGACCAGGAGCCAGGGCCGCCACCGUUCCCGGGACAGGGAAGAGGAGGUUCACAUUUCACUCCUGGAAGGAGAAAAUGGAAAAUGUUCUACCAGGAGGCACGAAUCACUCUGGCACAUGCUGUAAUAGCUGCAGCGGGAACGAAUUCAGCCCAUGACAUUUGAAUGUACGAGAAAUUCUCUUUAUUAUCAGUUUCUCCUCAAUCCAGUUGCAACUCUCUCCUGCCCAGCCCCAUGCAUCAGGGUUUUCAAGAGAUUUAAUUUUGGUCCUUUACCCUUUUAGGGGGUUGGGCUGAGAUCCUUAACAUCCUCCAGAGUAUGGUAAGGGCCUCAGGGGGUCUCAAGCCAUCAGAAAUAUUUGGGGAGGGGUCUGGUGCUCCUUCCACCAGGGUCUCACUGUAGAGGCAACGGUGGUGCACAGUCACAUCUCCCGUCGUGAGGAGCUGUUGAAGACACAGGUGCGUGGAGGGGCGGCCAGAGCCUGCUAAGAGCCGCAGGAAUGUCCGACCCAAACUCUAGGGCAGGAAGAGCAGCGGGAAGCCUUGGGAGGCCAGCCAGCCAUUUAGCUCCUCCCUGGGAGCCAUUCUCUAGCAGAGCUGCCAGAGUCAUAAAUAAAAAUACAGGAUGCCCAAUUAAAUGUGCAUUUUACAUAAGCAAUUGUAUUCAUGUCCUGUGGCUGCUGUAACAAAUCACCUCAAUCUGGGGCGCUUAAAACAACAGAAAUUUAUUAUCACAGUCUAGAGGCCAAAAGACCAACGUCAAGGUGUCAGGGCUGGGCUCCCUCGGGAGGAUCCAGGACCCUUUUGGCCUCUUCCUGCUCCUGGGGCCUCCAGGCGUCCCUUGGCUCGUGGCCGCAUUGCUCCAGCCUCUGCUUCUGCCCUCACACGGGCUCUUCCCUGCGCGUCUCUCCUCUGUCUUCAUGUCAUUCGUAUGAGGACAUCAGUCACUGGACUUAGGGCCCGCCCUACUUCAAUAUGACCUCGUCUUAACUAAUUACCUCUACAAAGAACCUAUUUCCAAAUAGAGUCACCUUCUAAAGUUCCGGGUGGGCACGAACUUCUUGGUGGACGCUAUUCAACCCGUAAUAACAAUGAAAAAGUUGUUUUACUUCUGCAGGACCUAUUCUAUGCGAAAAUAGUUCUUUUUUUAUCUGAAAUUCAAAUAUUACAAGAGACCUACUUAUACUAAAAAGCUAUUCAUUUUUACCUGAAGCUCAAAUAUUGCAUGAGACAUAGAUAUUAAAAUUAUUUGUUGUUUAUCUGAAAUUCAAAUGUUGCAUUGGAUAUGCUUAUACUAAAAAGGCAUUCCUAUUUUAUCUGGUAACUCUCUUCCUGCGUCCCCCAGCGUCCGUGUGUGUCCUGCCCCUCUGCAGUUCCGCCGUCUUGCAGGCCUCCAUGGUUCCGUGGGAGAUAGAGAGCGCAGGUCACCCACCCCGGGGACACUGCAAGUGGUUACACCCUCCCCCACCCUUCACCCCCCACACCCCCCUCCCCACCCCAACUGGUGCAGGGCCCCAGUCCUGUGGCCUGUGAGGAGAGCUCAGACUUUGGAAAUCUGAAUAAUG
This 2629-nucleotide long non-coding RNA is filed under the name Rhinopithecus bieti (black snub-nosed monkey). Its description in RNAcentral is "lncRNA (ENSRBIG00000045455.1)". The record is from RNAcentral. Lineage: Eukaryota; Metazoa; Chordata; Mammalia; Primates; Cercopithecidae.